This 633-nucleotide long non-coding RNA is filed under the name Lathyrus oleraceus (garden pea). RNAcentral's name for it is "Pisum sativum (pea) long non-coding RNA (PSAT_LNC035715)". Lineage: Eukaryota; Viridiplantae; Streptophyta; Magnoliopsida; Fabales; Fabaceae. The record is from RNAcentral.
UUUGAUGUUGAUCAAGCACGUUUAAUUUUUAGUAUUUUUUGAAAGAUUAAUUUUAAGAGUCAUUUUAUCUUUAUGGAUUAACAAUUAUGCAUCAACUAAAAAUACAAUAAAAUAAACUAAAAAAUAAUGAAAAUAAUAAAAAGAAAAAGAAAAAGAUAAAAGAAAUAAUAAAAGGGAGGGGACACACUAUUAAUACAACAAGUAAAAGAAUUAAAACAAUAAUAAAAGAAAAAAAUAAAAUAAAUGAAUAAAGCAAUAAUAAGAAAAUAAUAAAUAAAUAAUAACAAAAGACAAAAAUAGACUGAAAAAUAGAGGUGUAGCUAGGAAAAUGCUCUAGACACAAAGGAGGGAGUCUCGUAUGGAUGCACUGGGCAAUUAGGGGGUGCGAGAGAUACUUCAUCUUUCUCAACCUCACAUUUGGUUACUAUUCACGUAGCAAUAAAAAUGGAAGAAAAAUGAUUUCAACAAAAACGUAAAAACACCACAGUUUUUUCAUUUUUUUAACAGAAUUAAGCAAAUAAAUAAUGAAAAUUUAUCUACUCGAUCUCAAGAACAUAAUGGUAUAUCUAGAAUCAGCAAAUAAACAACAACAACAAAACAAAAAUCAACAAAAAUGCAUCAACAUAUAUUUGC